UACGUAGGGGGCGAGCGUUGUCCGGAUUUAUUGGGCGUAAAGAGCGUGUAGGCGGCCAGGUAGGUCUGCUGUGAAAACUCGAGGCUCAACCUCGAGACGCCGGUGGAAACCGUAAAGCUAGAGUCCGGAAGAGGAGAGUGGAAUUCCUGGUGUAGCGGUGAAAUGCGCAGAUAUCAGGAGGAACACCAAUGGCGAAGGCAGCUCGCUGGGACGUGACUGACGCUGAGACGCGAAAGCGUGGGGAGCAAACAGG
RNAcentral lists this ribosomal RNA (253 nucleotides) under uncultured bacterium. RNAcentral describes it as "partial 16S ribosomal RNA". It matches the Rfam family "Bacterial small subunit ribosomal RNA", at positions 524 to 776 of the family's 1533-position model. The record is from RNAcentral.